AAUAGAACCCUAGGACUCCAUAUAUUAUGGCGACACAUGCUGAGAACUCAUGAGGGAACAUUAUAACUAACACAGAUCCGAAAAUGUCAAAAGGGCUCUAAGUACUACACCCAAUCUAUCUAUCUCUCGUUGCCAACCGACGAAGCUUAAUCGAUCCUGAGGACAGGCUUCUCCUUUUCCACAAUCUUCACCUCCUCUUCUCCCUCUCUCUCAUCAAUUUGCUCUUGCUUCUUCUUGCUCAAGCCAAUUCGCUUGCCACCGAGGAUAAUCUGCUCAUCCUCUGUGAGUUGAAGGUCUUCGAUGAAGAACAUGGAAAUCAACAUAGGGAUUUGCAGACAGGUAGAAACAAUGGCAAGGACUGCAUUCGUAUUAGUUGACUUGAGAAUGGCCAAACCAAUCUCGGAGUUGGGGUCGUAACUAAUGGCGACUGUGAUACUGCCAUCUAAGAGGACCGUCAGCCUCUGAAUGACCUGCGCCUGAGGAGGAAAACCGACUUACAGAUCUUGGAAGCAAGGUUAGCAGAAGCGGCGGGAAGGUUAUUGGCAAGAGCAUCAGGCAAGAUGUUGAGCCAGACAGCACCAGCGACGGCAACACUGCAACACAUAAUCAGCGAUUGUCCUGGGAACCAAGAGAUAAGCUGGACUUACCCAAUAGCACCACCCAAAGAGGCGGCAAAGUAGAAAAUACCGGUGGCAAUGGCAAGCUCACGCCUUCUGGAAGAAGCUUGCACGGUGAUUUGAGCGGAAGUUUGGAACAUCUAAUUGUCAGCUCGGCCUCAGGCGAUUAUAAACUCACCCCUCGACCAACACCGUAGAUAGCCUUGGCAAUAACAUAGCUGGCAAUCGCACUCUUCCUACGAGGGUGCUGGACAAAGUUGAUGUCUUCUCACCAAAGGGCACAAAGAGGGAUACCGAUCCACACAGGGUAUCUAGUGUGGAAGAGUCGCUUGCCCAAACCAAGCUUGACACAAGCAGGGGUCCAGAAUCGCAUAACGAGACCGACGACGAGUGCGGUGACCUGGAAGACGAUUCGAAGAGUAUUGUCGAUCAUUGAAGCCUUGCUGGCAGAUGUUCGGACGGCAACUUGCAUAAAGGUUUGGAAAUAAGUUGUGAAGACUCCGUAGGACAUGAAAUCGCACAUGUUGAUGACAAACAUAGACAUGAGACUUCGGUUUUUGAGGGUGUACCAGGGGAUGAGAGGAAGACGAGGGGUGAAGAACCACUUGGGCCUCCAUCGUUUAGGAAUAGACCUGCCCAAAGUCAACUUCAUUUACCAGAAUGCCCAAGAUUGACAAUAAAAUCUCACCAGACGACGAAAAGAACAAGAAGACCGAAACCAACACAGAUCAUGGCAAUGUUGUCAUCAGUCCAUUUCGACGCAACACCCUUGGCAAGAGUCAGAGGAAUCAAGAUCAACGCGACACUAGCGACAAGAAGACAGGAACCGAUGAUAUCGUAUUCGUGGAAGAGCUGGUCGAUGACGUUGGUGUGCGGGGGAAGAUGAGGGACAUUUGGGUUAUGUCGUACCCGUCGGUGCCAAGAAAACAAGAUGGCGAUGAAGGGAAUAGCAAGAACAGUGUUUAUGACUGAGUCGAUCAAUCAGCACUUGAAGAUGAUGGAGCAUUCAAAUGCUCGCUGGAGCAAUACAUACUAGACCACAUUCCGUAGCCCCAUCGCCAACCAGAGGCUGUGCCCCAGUUGUCCAAGAUAUGCCCACCAAUGGUUGAACCACUAUAAAGAGUGAUGAUGGCGCCUAACAAUCAGUUUGCGUUAGGGGCAUAUUAAACUCACUGAAAGAGUCUGCGGCGACGUUCCAUAAAGCACGUUCGCGGAUAGCGGUAGUCUCGGCAUAGUAGAUUUGAAGGGCGAUAGUGUAGCCAGUACCCGACAACCCGCUGAAGACAUUCGCGCCAAUAUACGUCUGGACAUUCUUGCAUCCGGCCAUCAUGGCGUCACUAAGCACCUAGAAGGUCAGCUAGAUAUCCGCUCACUCAUUGACUCACAGUGAAGAUGACCAUGGAAAUGAUAAUCCAAGGAGAGAUACGCCCGACAUUAUCACAGAUUUUGG
Molecule: small RNA, 2067 nt
Filed under: Cryptococcus neoformans H99
Lineage: Eukaryota; Fungi; Basidiomycota; Tremellomycetes; Tremellales; Cryptococcaceae
Description: Cryptococcus neoformans var. grubii H99 hypothetical RNA
Source: RNAcentral